ACUCUUCACCACAUCGGCGCUGGUGAACUUCGGAAGACAACUCAGGCUCGUCGAAAACACUCUAGCUGCCAUUUCUCCGCCAACAAAGCUCACACCGGAACUGGGUUUACGCUUCGUUGACGUGUUUCCGGUUUUUGCGUAAAUGGUCUAUUGGCUGGUAGCGUGUUACUCCCUACGUUGCUAGGUUACCCGAGAGUGAGUGCCUUUGUUCAUGCAACCAAACUUGCUUUGCAACCUCUGGUUUCUUCCGACGAAGAAAUAAAAAAUAAACAUUGAACGUUUUAUCGAACGCAUUUUUUAUUGAUAUUGAUUACAUGUCUAUCGCGAUACAUAUUGUUAAUGUUUUAUCGCCCAGCCCUAUUAUGUAAAGUAUCUGAGUAUCUUAAUAGUGUAGGUUGAAGCCUCCUAACAACUUGAAUGCUUUUGGAGGACUGUUGGGCAUAUACACACUAUAUUCCUUUGUACAUAAAACCUUUUGGGAGUAAUUAAGCUCUUAAUUCUUCAUUUUUUUCAGGCCAUCUGAUGUUAAGAAUAUAUCUUAGGCAGUGGUUGAAGAAUUGUAGCUUGUUCAGGAGGUUCUUUGUUGUUUUCCACAUCUCAGAUCUUUAAAUGAGUAUGGUGUUAAUGCUUGAGUCGAAUAGCCGUAGUUUGGUCUUGAGUGUGAUGUUAUGUACUCUUCAUUUGGGCCCCAUCAUGCCAAAUGCAGCUCUUGCCUUGCCUAUUCUUGUGGUUAACCAUCAAGCUGGCCAGUGUCUUUUUGUUUGCACUUUGGUCGUUGUGCUAAUGUGGAGAUCUGUCUCAGCUGACUUCUGUUCUACCUCUCUCAAUUUCUCUUGCAUUUGUUGGUGUUUUUGGGACAGUAAUGUGAUAUAAUCUGCAAAGUCUAGGUCGUCUAGUUAUGUAAAUGGGGUCCAUUGGAUCCCAUUGGAUCCCAUUGCACCUGUUGUCAGUGGCUUGCCGCAUGAUCUAGUCUGCCGCAUGAUCUAGUCGGCCGCAUGAUCUAGUCGACCUUCGAAGAGGAAUGGUAAUCGAGAAAGUAGACAGCCUUGACUAACUCCUGUUGAGAUGUGAAAUGCCUCUGUCAGCUGGCCUUUAUGUUUUUAGUCAGGAUUAAUCCUGACUCCAACAAGUGCACUGCCAAGGAGCAGAUGAGCAAGACGACUGGGAGAGUGGUGAAGCAGAAGACUUCAUACAUGAACCCCCAUGUAAUCUCCUUCAUCAGGGACUUCACGGAGUUCUAUUUGCUAACUGACUAGAUACAGCAUUGGCAUUUGUGGCCUGAAGGUGUACAGAGCGCCCUCUGGCUGCAAGUAUGAAUUGAA
Molecule: long non-coding RNA, 1322 nt
Organism: Megalobrama amblycephala (Wuchang bream)
Lineage: Eukaryota; Metazoa; Chordata; Actinopteri; Cypriniformes; Xenocyprididae
Exons: 3
Source: RefSeq, a predicted model, not a curated record